RNAcentral lists this ribosomal RNA (177 nucleotides) under uncultured Wickerhamomyces. Its description in RNAcentral is "partial large subunit ribosomal RNA". Lineage: Eukaryota; Fungi; Ascomycota; Saccharomycetes; Phaffomycetales; Phaffomycetaceae. The record is from RNAcentral.
UUUGUUGAAAGGGAAGGGCAUUAGAUCAGACUUGGUGUUUUACGAUUAUCUUCUCUUCUUGAGUUGUGCACUCGUAUUUCACUGGGCCAGCAUCGAUUCGGAUGGCAAGAUAAUGGCAGUUGAAUGUGGCUUCACUUCGGUGGAGUGUUAUAGCUUCUGCUGAUAUGCCUUCUAUCG